This 2903-nucleotide ribosomal RNA is filed under the name Escherichia coli. Its description in RNAcentral is "bacterial LSU rRNA". It matches the Rfam family "Bacterial large subunit ribosomal RNA". The record is from RNAcentral. Lineage: Bacteria; Pseudomonadati; Pseudomonadota; Gammaproteobacteria; Enterobacterales; Enterobacteriaceae.
UUAAGCGACUAAGCGUACACGGUGGAUGCCCUGGCAGUCAGAGGCGAUGAAGGACGUGCUAAUCUGCGAUAAGCGUCGGUAAGGUGAUAUGAACCGUUAUAACCGGCGAUUUCCGAAUGGGGAAACCCAGUGUGUUUCGACACACUAUCAUUAACUGAAUCCAUAGGUUAAUGAGGCGAACCGGGGGAACUGAAACAUCUAAGUACCCCGAGGAAAAGAAAUCAACCGAGAUUCCCCCAGUAGCGGCGAGCGAACGGGGAGCAGCCCAGAGCCUGAAUCAGUGUGUGUGUUAGUGGAAGCGUCUGGAAAGGCGCGCGAUACAGGGUGACAGCCCCGUACACAAAAAUGCACAUGCUGUGAGCUCGAUGAGUAGGGCGGGACACGUGGUAUCCUGUCUGAAUAUGGGGGGACCAUCCUCCAAGGCUAAAUACUCCUGACUGACCGAUAGUGAACCAGUACCGUGAGGGAAAGGCGAAAAGAACCCCGGCGAGGGGAGUGAAAAAGAACCUGAAACCGUGUACGUACAAGCAGUGGGAGCACGCUUAGGCGUGUGACUGCGUACCUUUUGUAUAAUGGGUCAGCGACUUAUAUUCUGUAGCAAGGUUAACCGAAUAGGGGAGCCGAAGGGAAACCGAGUCUUAACUGGGCGUUAAGUUGCAGGGUAUAGACCCGAAACCCGGUGAUCUAGCCAUGGGCAGGUUGAAGGUUGGGUAACACUAACUGGAGGACCGAACCGACUAAUGUUGAAAAAUUAGCGGAUGACUUGUGGCUGGGGGUGAAAGGCCAAUCAAACCGGGAGAUAGCUGGUUCUCCCCGAAGCUAUUUAGGUAGCGCCUCGUGAAUUCAUCUCCGGGGGUAGAGCACUGUUUCGGCAAGGGGGUCAUCCCGACUUACCAACCCGAUGCAAACUGCGAAUACCGGAGAAUGUUAUCACGGGAGACACACGGCGGGUGCUAACGUCCGUCGUGAAGAGGGAAACAACCCAGACCGCCAGCUAAGGUCCCAAAGUCAUGGUUAAGUGGGAAACGAUGUGGGAAGGCCCAGACAGCCAGGAUGUUGGCUUAGAAGCAGCCAUCAUUUAAAGAAAGCGUAAUAGCUCACUGGUCGAGUCGGCCUGCGCGGAAGAUGUAACGGGGCUAAACCAUGCACCGAAGCUGCGGCAGCGACGCUUAUGCGUUGUUGGGUAGGGGAGCGUUCUGUAAGCCUGCGAAGGUGUGCUGUGAGGCAUGCUGGAGGUAUCAGAAGUGCGAAUGCUGACAUAAGUAACGAUAAAGCGGGUGAAAAGCCCGCUCGCCGGAAGACCAAGGGUUCCUGUCCAACGUUAAUCGGGGCAGGGUGAGUCGACCCCUAAGGCGAGGCCGAAAGGCGUAGUCGAUGGGAAACAGGUUAAUAUUCCUGUACUUGGUGUUACUGCGAAGGGGGGACGGAGAAGGCUAUGUUGGCCGGGCGACGGUUGUCCCGGUUUAAGCGUGUAGGCUGGUUUUCCAGGCAAAUCCGGAAAAUCAAGGCUGAGGCGUGAUGACGAGGCACUACGGUGCUGAAGCAACAAAUGCCCUGCUUCCAGGAAAAGCCUCUAAGCAUCAGGUAACAUCAAAUCGUACCCCAAACCGACACAGGUGGUCAGGUAGAGAAUACCAAGGCGCUUGAGAGAACUCGGGUGAAGGAACUAGGCAAAAUGGUGCCGUAACUUCGGGAGAAGGCACGCUGAUAUGUAGGUGAAGUCCCUCGCGGAUGGAGCUGAAAUCAGUCGAAGAUACCAGCUGGCUGCAACUGUUUAUUAAAAACACAGCACUGUGCAAACACGAAAGUGGACGUAUACGGUGUGACGCCUGCCCGGUGCCGGAAGGUUAAUUGAUGGGGUUAGCCGCAAGGCGAAGCUCUUGAUCGAAGCCCCGGUAAACGGCGGCCGUAACUAUAACGGUCCUAAGGUAGCGAAAUUCCUUGUCGGGUAAGUUCCGACCUGCACGAAUGGCGUAAUGAUGGCCAGGCUGUCUCCACCCGAGACUCAGUGAAAUUGAACUCGCUGUGAAGAUGCAGUGUACCCGCGGCAAGACGGAAAGACCCCGUGAACCUUUACUAUAGCUUGACACUGAACAUUGAGCCUUGAUGUGUAGGAUAGGUGGGAGGCUUAGAAGUGUGGACGCCAGUCUGCAUGGAGCCGACCUUGAAAUACCACCCUUUAAUGUUUGAUGUUCUAACGUUGACCCGUAAUCCGGGUUGCGGACAGUGUCUGGUGGGUAGUUUGACUGGGGCGGUCUCCUCCUAAAGAGUAACGGAGGAGCACGAAGGUUGGCUAAUCCUGGUCGGACAUCAGGAGGUUAGUGCAAUGGCAUAAGCCAGCUUGACUGCGAGCGUGACGGCGCGAGCAGGUGCGAAAGCAGGUCAUAGUGAUCCGGUGGUUCUGAAUGGAAGGGCCAUCGCUCAACGGAUAAAAGGUACUCCGGGGAUAACAGGCUGAUACCGCCCAAGAGUUCAUAUCGACGGCGGUGUUUGGCACCUCGAUGUCGGCUCAUCACAUCCUGGGGCUGAAGUAGGUCCCAAGGGUAUGGCUGUUCGCCAUUUAAAGUGGUACGCGAGCUGGGUUUAGAACGUCGUGAGACAGUUCGGUCCCUAUCUGCCGUGGGCGCUGGAGAACUGAGGGGGGCUGCUCCUAGUACGAGAGGACCGGAGUGGACGCAUCACUGGUGUUCGGGUUGUCAUGCCAAUGGCACUGCCCGGUAGCUAAAUGCGGAAGAGAUAAGUGCUGAAAGCAUCUAAGCACGAAACUUGCCCCGAGAUGAGUUCUCCCUGACCCUUUAAGGGUCCUGAAGGAACGUUGAAGACGACGACGUUGAUAGGCCGGGUGUGUAAGCGCAGCGAUGCGUUGAGCUAACCGGUACUAAUGAACCGUGAGGCUUAACCUU